AGGAAGCGGCGGGGCUGGCCCGGCGUUGCCCUCUUCCCACCCUGGAAGGGCAGAGCCGGGAACUGGGGCCGUUUCCCGAGCGUCCCCAAGGCUCAGGCUGGACCCGAGACUUGCUGUCUCUGGUCUCCUGCAGCUAACGGCACUCUGGUCACAAUUCUACGCUGUUGUGAGCCGUGCGUGUGUGAUGGAUCGGCCACAGGGACCCAAGAGGACAGGGUUCCGGAAGCUUCCGGAGAGCCUAGCACAUGGAGGCCGACACAGGAAGGAUGAAGACCUGGCGGCUGCCACUUUGAACCCAUCUCAGCAAAUGGCGUCUCCAUCAUCCUGGUCAUUUGCACCUAAAACCUUGGCGUCCUCCUCGUCUCUCACACCCACAUCGGAGCCUUCAGCAGAUCCAGUGAACUCCACCCUCAAAAUACACCCAAGCAUGCAAACAGGUCUCUCUGCCUUUCCCGCCCCCAUUUCUCUCCAAGCCAUUGUCUUGGGCACCUGGGUCUUGCAGUUUUUCGCCUGACUGGUUUUUCUACUUCUGCACUUGGCCUCUGAUGGCCUCAUCCGUGUGACAGCUGGGGAAGUCCUUUGAACACAUAGAUCUGUCUUCCUCGGCCCUUUGCUCAAAGCCUGUCAUUGGAGAGAAAUCCAAAGCCCUUCCCUUUGCCUGCAAUACCCUCUCGGAAACCCCACCCAUCGUCUCCGGUCUGUUUCUUUUCUUUUCUUUCU
Microcebus murinus (gray mouse lemur) is the source of this 720-nucleotide non-coding RNA. Lineage: Eukaryota; Metazoa; Chordata; Mammalia; Primates; Cheirogaleidae. The record is from RefSeq and is a predicted model, not a curated record.